CGGGCCGCCACGUGUCAGUGGGGCCCGCGAACAGUGUAAGAAACUCACUAAGAUCGGUUUUUAAUUAGUAGUUUUUGUAACCGAUCCUUAAGAGUUUUGUGGAGGCCCACGCACUAAAAAACCCACUAAGAACCCCGGAUAAUCAUGCUCUAAGAGCACCUCCAUUAGUUUUAGGAAAUGUUCUUAAUCAAAAAACACAAAAAAAUAAAUGAAAAAUGAAUAAAUAGCACAGAACCGGUUAUAAACAGAGUCAUUUUAGAAUUGGUAAUGGUAAUAACCCCUACGUGGCGGUUUUGUAUUGGGUACUUGUAAAAGAGAAAAGGAAUCCAAAACCCGUCUCUCUCUUUAUCGCUUUCUUUUCAUGCAUGUCCUUUGGCCUCCUCCUCUUCCAAAUCCGUGGAUGAAAUCACCGAAAUCUGCGGUCGAUCGGUGGUAGCUCUCUUCAUCGGCGAUCGAUUGGUAAAAUCAGCAAGGGAACGACUCUACCCUUGUUCGCCGAAAUCAGCAAAAAAAAAAAUGGAGAAAGCAAUCGAGAGAGAACGAGUUCUUCUUCAACAUCUCUGUCCUUCUUCCUCCUCACACAGUUUCGAAGCUCUCUCUCUGGAUUAACGUGAUAUCCGAUGGCUUUAAGUUCAGACAACAAUCGUGGUAUUGAGUUUUAUCUCACGUCAUUAGUCAGAUACGUUUGCUGAUUAUCUCAAUGAUCCAAGCAUCAAGGAAUUGGCUGAGCAAAUUGCCAAUGAUCCCACCUUUACUCUGUACCAAGUGCAUCAAGCUAAGUCCAAACGUGUCACUGGCAAGUGGUUAGUAUACUUGUCUUUUAAUGCAUGUUAGAAACGGUUUAGGUUUGGAAUUAAAUGGACUUAAGUGUGAUGUGGUAGUGUCUGAGUUUGAGUUAAAUGGACAUUAACUGUUUAUUGGUUAGACAUAAAUUGUGUUCGAGCCAGUAUUGUGUCAAUUGUUAGAGAGUGAUUAUGGUAGGUGUGCUUUACAGUAACUGUGUAUUGGUUAGACAUAAAUUCAACAACCAAAAACUCUUUUUUUAAAUAUGAUGAAUUCACCCUUCCUCCUUUGCACAUUCCUUUUCCUUUCUCUAUUUCCUUCUAGCUUUAAAACUCUCUUAUGGAUUCAUACGGCCAUACAUCAGGCUUUAUAAACCUUCUAAACAGUCAAAACCCUCAUCCGUCAACUAGUGUAGAUGAACUUGGAGCCUCCGAUGUCUCUAUCUUCGGUAGCGAAUGGGCCCAAGAUGCACACUUUGUUACUGACCGUAAAGAAAAGCGUAAGUGGACACCAACAGAAGAUCUUGUUCUCAUCAGUGCUUGGCUGAAUACUUCCAAAGAUCCUGUAAUUGGUAAUGAGCAAAAGGCCAUAGCGUUUUGGAAGAGAAUUGCUUUUUAUUUUGCAUCAAGUCCCAAGCUUGUUGGUUUGUCAGUUUGAUGUAUCAGUUUUCGCACAACCGGAACCAAACCGAAGUUCACAAGUGGAUUUCACGUAUUCUACAGAUAUGCCUUCAAAUCUCGGCAAUAUGAUGAGCGUUCGGAAUCGAGUUCGUGAUAAAACAAUACAUCAACAAUUGAAAGCUGAUUUGGUUGAACAUAUUUGGCAAAAAUUUGGAACAAAUCAAGAUUUCUACUAAUCGGCUUUUCUCGUUUUUGAUUUGUAUUUGUACCUUUCAUAUGUUUUAUGUAAUUUUUAUUAAUAAAUUUAUGUAUGCUUUUAUUUUAAAUCAUUCUAAUAAAACAAAAAAUUUUAAAAAAAUUAAGAACCCCUAUGGAAUUCUACCAUUGGAGGAAGAAAAAAUCAAUUUUACUAACCAAGAUUCUAAACUUAUCAAAUCACAUUUUUUUCCAACUAAUUUAAUCAUUAGAGCCCCUUAGAGGUUCUAAUGGAUGGAGUUGCUCUAAAAGGAGAAGGCUUUGUGGUGUUGUGUAAUGGCCUCUUCUCUCUCUCACACUCGCUUUUUUAAUUGUUGUUGCACCCGAAAAGCAAGUUAGUAGUAAUUGAGACUUAGGAAAGGAAUAUGAAUCAGUGUGAUUAAGGCUUCGAAUAUUAUCGAUCGAAUUGCACCGUAGUUAACAGUAACAAAAAAAUUACAUAUAUUAUAUAUUUAUAUAUUUUUAUUACUGUUAAAACCGUACCGUACUUGAAACGUUUGUUCUUCAUCGCUCAAUCCACAAUUACCAUUCAGAGCCUAAGUAGACCAUCUCUUUAUAUACUGUAUAGUUUAUAUGCUUCCUCUUAUUGUCAACUACUAUAUAACAUUGAAUAUUAAUGCCAUUCACAUGUAGAUUUCUCAACAAAAAAUUGGGUGAAUUGUCAAAAACUGAGGUAUGUUUUUUGCGUUGUGGGAGGGAGGAGGCACGUGGAUAGUGGGUGGCGCACGUGCGGGGAACCGGGAGAAGAGGUAAUCGGUGGCUUCUUUCUCUCUUUAUCAUCGAUGCCAGCUUGGACGAGAGGGAGUGGGUGGGGGAGAGAAGUUUUAUCCUUAGGCUUUCUUGUGUGGGUCCCUCUUUUUACAUCUCUCAUAACGACCCCUUAACUUUCGUUUUAUACUAUUUGUUACCCCUAACUUUUUUUGUUUUAUAUUUUCCCCAUCCUCUCUAGGAAGUGCAAGGAGGGAGACUAUUUACGAGCUAACUCGGCCUAUUCAUUGAGGGAGAGUAUUUACGAGCUAACUCGGCCUAUUCAUACUUUCAUCGAGCUAACAAGGGGGGUGAUAAUAUUCUCGAAAAAAAGAUAGAUCGAGCUACAACAACUAAGGUGAUGAUUGUUUCGGUAGUUUUUAAUUUUAGUUUUUGGUUUUUAGAUUUUAGCUUUUGGUUUUUAGAUUUUGGUUUUUGGUUUUCAGCUUUUAGUUUUUGUUUUUUGG
Long non-coding RNA from Brassica napus (rape), 2872 nucleotides. RefSeq lists it as uncharacterized. The record is from RefSeq and is a predicted model, not a curated record. NCBI's taxonomy places the organism in Eukaryota, Viridiplantae, Streptophyta, Magnoliopsida, Brassicales, Brassicaceae. The transcript is spliced from 3 exons.